Molecule: long non-coding RNA, 152 nt
Organism: Ipomoea nil (Japanese morning glory)
Lineage: Eukaryota; Viridiplantae; Streptophyta; Magnoliopsida; Solanales; Convolvulaceae
Exons: 3
Source: RefSeq, a predicted model, not a curated record
UUAGUUUAAGGUUUAAGAUUUGACUGAUAAUUUGGUCGGAGUGACCAAAAUUGAUAAAAAUUGAGUAGUCAAGGUGCUAAAUUAACAGUUUUGAAAGUCAUGGAAUGUAAUUAAUAAGACCUCAAUAGUCACAUGACCAAAAUUAAAAUUUA